This 256-nucleotide long non-coding RNA is filed under the name Hordeum vulgare. Its description in RNAcentral is "long non-coding RNA (HVUL_LNC014414)". Lineage: Eukaryota; Viridiplantae; Streptophyta; Magnoliopsida; Poales; Poaceae. The record is from RNAcentral.
AAUAAUAAAUAUAGUAGACAAUCUGGGAUUCAACUGUCUUCUUAUUAAAGAUACAGAGUACAACACAGUUACAAACAAGGUAGUUCCGAUACGGACUACAAAACAAGGGAAAUGCUAUGCUACCCGCUGCGGGCCCACGAUCACGACCACGGCUCAGUCUUCUGGAUAGUUCACGUAAAGGCGAUCGGUCUUCUCGUCGUACUGCCACGCCAGUUGGGUGCCAUCGGGAUCCUCUGCCUCUGGGGUACCUGUACCU